Molecule: ribosomal RNA, 497 nt
Filed under: uncultured bacterium
Lineage: Bacteria
Description: partial 16S ribosomal RNA
Rfam family: Bacterial small subunit ribosomal RNA
Source: RNAcentral
GAUGAACGCUGGCGGCGUGCCUAAUACAUGCAAGUCGAGCGAACAGACGAGGAGCUUGCUCCUCUGACGUUAGCGGCGGGCGGGUGAGUAACACGUGGAUAACCUACCUAUAAGACUGGGAUAACUUCGGGAAACCGGAGCUAAUACCGGAUAAUAUAUUGAACCGCAUGGUUCAAUAGUGAAAGACGGUUUUGCUGUCACUUAUAGAUGGAUCCGCGCCGCAUUAGCUAGUUGGUAAGGUAACGGCUUACCAAGGCAACGAUGCGUAGCCGACCUGAGAGGGUGAUCGGCCACACUGGAACUGAGACACGGUCCAGACUCCUACGGGAGGCAGCAGUAGGGAAUCUUCCGCAAUGGGCGAAAGCCUGACGGAGCAACGCCGCGUGAAUGAUGAAGGUCUUCGGAUCGUAAAACUCUGUUAUUAGGGAAGAACAAAUGUGUAAGUAACUAUGCACGUCUUGACGGUACCUAAUCAGAAAGCCACGGCUAACUACGUG